RNAcentral lists this long non-coding RNA (350 nucleotides) under Phoenix dactylifera (date palm). RNAcentral describes it as "long non-coding RNA (PDAC_LNC006940)". The record is from RNAcentral. Lineage: Eukaryota; Viridiplantae; Streptophyta; Magnoliopsida; Arecales; Arecaceae.
UGAGUAGGGCAGAGAAGACGAAGGAAAAGAGCUAGGUUGGUUGUUAGAGGUGGUGCAUGGUAGUGUCGAGGUGAGGAUGGGUGAUUGACUAUGGAUCAAUCUAUCACAAGAUAGUGCAAAGUUGCAGUUUAAUAAGCAAUUCAACUUAUUGUGCAAUUUAAGUGGUAGGCAUCUAAGUAUAUAGGUUGACUUAUACUUGAAGCUUGUGUUGCAUACAACUCCACUUAUCGAACUCCAAAUAGUCUAAUAUUUGCAUUAUAGAAAUGAAAAGUCAUUAGACACUUGCACAAAAAAAGGAGGCCUAUCUAUUGAUCUACUCACCAACUAUAAGUACCAUGACCGGCUCGCGG